RNAcentral lists this ribosomal RNA (490 nucleotides) under uncultured bacterium. RNAcentral's name for it is "partial 16S ribosomal RNA". It matches the Rfam family "Bacterial small subunit ribosomal RNA", at positions 30 to 507 of the family's 1533-position model. The record is from RNAcentral.
AUUGAACGCUGGCGGCAGGCCUAACACAUGCAAGUCGAACGGUAACAGGAAGAAGCUUGCUUCUUUGCUGACGAGUGGCGGACGGGUGAGUAAUGUCUGGGAAACUGCCUGAUGGAGGGGGAUAACUACUGGAAACGGUAGCUAAUACCGCAUAAUGUCGCAAGACCAAAGAGGGGGACCUUCGGGCCUCUUGCCAUCGGAUGUGCCCAGAUGGGAUUAGCUAGUAGGUGGGGUAACGGCUCACCUAGGCGACGAUCCCUAGCUGGUCUGAGAGGAUGACCAGCCACACUGGAACUGAGACACGGUCCAGACUCCUACGGGAGGCAGCAGUGGGGAAUAUUACACAAUGGGCGCAAGCCUGAUGCAGCUAUGCCGCGUGUAUGAAGAAGGCCUUCGGGUUGUAAAGUACUUUCAGCGGGGAGGAAGGGAGUAAAGUUAAUACCUUUGCUCAUUGACGUUACCCGCAGAAGAAGCACCGGCUAACUCCGUG